Molecule: non-coding RNA, 74 nt
Organism: Daphnia pulex (common water flea)
Lineage: Eukaryota; Metazoa; Arthropoda; Branchiopoda; Diplostraca; Daphniidae
Source: Rfam
GCCUCUGUGGCGCAAUUGGCUAGCGCGUUCGGAUGUUAACCGGAAGGCUGGUGGCUCGAUCCCACCCAAGGGCG